GCGACCGUAGCUCAGCUGGUCAGAGCACCUGGUUGUGGUCCAGGGGGUCGGGGGUUCGAGUCCCCUCGGUCGCC
This 74-nucleotide transfer RNA is filed under the name Planctomycetota bacterium. RNAcentral's name for it is "Planctomycetes bacterium tRNA-His". It matches the Rfam family "tRNA". Rfam says of the family: Transfer RNA (tRNA) molecules are approximately 80 nucleotides in length. Their secondary structure includes four short double-helical elements and three loops (D, anti-codon, and T loops). Further hydrogen bonds mediate the characteristic L-shaped molecular structure. tRNAs have two regions of fundamental functional importance: the anti-codon, which is responsible for specific mRNA codon recognition, and the 3' end, to which the tRNAs corresponding amino acid is attached (by aminoacyl-tRNA synthetases). tRNAs cope with the degeneracy of the genetic code in two manners: having more than one tRNA (with a specific anti-codon) for a particular amino acid; and 'wobble' base-pairing, i.e. permitting non-standard base-pairing at the 3rd anti-codon position. The record is from RNAcentral. Lineage: Bacteria; Pseudomonadati; Planctomycetota.